AGAGUUUGAUCCUGGCUCAGAUUGAACGCUGGCGGCAGGCCUAACACAUGCAAGUCGAACGGUAACAGGAAGCAGCUUGCUGCUUCGCUGACGAGUGGCGGACGGGUGAGUAAUGUCUGGGAAACUGCCUGAUGGAGGGGGAUAACUACUGGAAACGGUAGCUAAUACCGCAUAACGUCGCAAGACCAAAGAGGGGGACCUUCGGGCCUCUUGCCAUCGGAUGUGCCCAGAUGGGAUUAGCUAGUAGGUGGGGUAACGGCUCACCUAGGCGACGAUCCCUAGCUGGUCUGAGAGGAUGACCAGCCACACUGGAACUGAGACACGGUCCAGACUCCUACGGGAGGCAGCAGUGGGGAAUAUUGCACAAUGGGCGCAAGCCUGAUGCAGCCAUGCCGCGUGUAUGAAGAAGGCCUUCGGGUUGUAAAGUACUUUCAGCGGGGAGGAAGGGAGUAAAGUUAA
Molecule: ribosomal RNA, 459 nt
Filed under: uncultured bacterium
Lineage: Bacteria
Description: bacterial SSU rRNA
Rfam family: Bacterial small subunit ribosomal RNA
Source: RNAcentral